UACGAGGGGGCGAGCGUUGUUCGGAAUUAUUGGGCGUAAAGGGUGCGUAGGCGGUUCCGCAAGUCCUGUGUGAAAUCUUCGGGCUCAACUCGAAGUCUGCAGCGGGAAACUGCGGGGCUUGAGUGUGGGAGAGGUGAGUGGAAUUCCUGGUGUAGCGGUGAAAUGCGUAGAUAUCAGGAGGAACACCUGCGGUGUAGACGGCUUUCUGGACCAUUGUUGACGCUGAGACACGAAAGCGUGGGUAGCAAACAGG
This 253-nucleotide ribosomal RNA is filed under the name uncultured bacterium. RNAcentral describes it as "partial 16S ribosomal RNA". It matches the Rfam family "Bacterial small subunit ribosomal RNA", at positions 524 to 776 of the family's 1533-position model. The record is from RNAcentral.